GACAGAGGAGGCAAGCGUUGUUCGGAAUCACUGGGCUUAAAGCGCGUGUAGGCGGCUCAGCAAGUGUCGUGUGAAAUCCCCUGGCUCAACCAGGGAACUGCACGGCAAACUACUGGGCUUGAGGUCGGUAGAGGUGCCUGGAACUCUAGGUGGAGCGGUGAAAUGCGUAGAUAUCUAGAGGAAUGCCGGCGGCGAAAGCGGGGCACUGGGCCGAUUCUGACGCUGAGACGCGAAAGCGUGGGGAGCAAACAGG
This 253-nucleotide ribosomal RNA is filed under the name uncultured bacterium. Its description in RNAcentral is "partial 16S ribosomal RNA". It matches the Rfam family "Bacterial small subunit ribosomal RNA", at positions 524 to 776 of the family's 1533-position model. The record is from RNAcentral.